This 291-nucleotide ribosomal RNA is filed under the name uncultured Piscinibacter sp. RNAcentral's name for it is "partial 16S ribosomal RNA". It matches the Rfam family "Bacterial small subunit ribosomal RNA", at positions 505 to 795 of the family's 1533-position model. The record is from RNAcentral. Lineage: Bacteria; Pseudomonadati; Pseudomonadota; Betaproteobacteria; Burkholderiales; Sphaerotilaceae.
GUGCCAGCCGCCGCGGUAAUACGUAGGGUGCAAGCGUUAAUCGGAAUUACUGGGCGUAAAGCGUGCGCAGGCGGCUUUGCAAGACAGAUGUGAAAUCCCCUGGCUCAACCUGGGAACUGCAUUUGUGACUGCAUGGCUAGAGUGCGGCAGAGGGGGAUGGAAUUCCGCGUGUAGCAGUGAAAUGCGUAGAUAUGCGGAGGAACACCGAUGGCGAAGGCAAUCCCCUGGGCCUGCACUGACGCUCAUGCACGAAAGCGUGGGGAGCAAACAGGAUUAGAUACCCUAGUAGUC